This 1223-nucleotide long non-coding RNA is filed under the name Chinchilla lanigera (long-tailed chinchilla). RNAcentral's name for it is "lncRNA (ENSCLAG00000025390.1)". Lineage: Eukaryota; Metazoa; Chordata; Mammalia; Rodentia; Chinchillidae. The record is from RNAcentral.
GCGGGGCUCCAGAGUCUGUGUCCUUUACAAUUGUACCACACAGCCUCUCUAACUGAGCCUGCUCUGUCUGCAAGGGAGUAAUUAGAUGACUAUAAUAAUGAUGAUAAUAAGCAUCAUAAUAAUAAUUCUAUGACUGGACAAAUACCUUGGUGACAUGAUGGAUUCUGUAGGUAGAUAAUGGCAAAUAAUGGCAAAUUUCUUGGGUGAUCCCAUUUUGGGUGGCCUGAGAGAGACUCCUCCAUUCCCUGGUGCUGUCUGGCCCCUCAUCCAGGUGGUAGAUGAGCUCAAAACACAAAGGCUCCUUACAUCUUUGUGAAAUUUGCUAAAAUUGAUCUUAUUUAUGUAAACCUGACAAUAUACCUGUAGAAUUUACCACAGUUUCCAAUUAUUGACAUCGAAGCUGCCCAAGAUUCUGAAUUCUGGGGUAUUCACCAGAGAACUAUCUUUACUGCACCUAACAAGGUGGAGGGACACAUUAGGAAAGGCACAUGUUCAGUGCAUGGAAUUUGUAGGGUGCUGUGACCCUGAGAAAGAAAGAAAAAGGGAGAGGGGCAACACCCCAAAACAUUGACCCAUGCCUGGCUGCAAGACCAGGAGCUCAAACAGCCAAGCAGCCCCCCCAACACCUCCCUGUGCACUGAUUUCUUCUGGUAGGACCCUAGUGCUUCUGCCUGUUCCUUGUAUCUGUGAAGUGUGCUCUCUGUUCCCCGGGUACUCUCUAGCCCCACACAAGAGCUUGUCUUGUCUAAGUAGUCACCAUUCUUACCUUACCUGUCCUAGAAUUGCCUAAGGAGCUUAAAAAACUUUAAAUGCCAUGGAGCACACCCAGACACUACAAUCUAUAUGUCUAAACAAGACCUGCACAUCUGUAUUUCAUUUCCUCCCAAGUGAUGGCCGUGUGCAGCCAAGGUUGAAAACCACUGGACAAAGCCCUGGUCUGAGAACUCAUGUCUCCAGCAACGUUCAGAAGCCAGGUCCCAUGGAUCACUACUGGAAUAAGAUGGAAUCAGGAAGCCCUGGCCUAUCCAGGACAGAUGAAUCACAUCUACCCUCUGUGAUAGGGAGGAAUUUUCAUGAGACCAACAGCCCACACACUGGAUACUGAAAUAACAACUGGAGGGUCCAGAAAUAUUAAAAGGAGGAACAGAGACAGAGAAGCUUACGAUGGAGGUAUUUGGACAGCCAAGAGGAGCAGAAACACACAGAGUGGAGGAGCAGUGGGA